Molecule: transfer RNA, 72 nt
Organism: Leucosporidium creatinivorum
Lineage: Eukaryota; Fungi; Basidiomycota; Microbotryomycetes; Leucosporidiales; Leucosporidiaceae
Rfam family: tRNA
About the family: Transfer RNA (tRNA) molecules are approximately 80 nucleotides in length.
Source: Rfam
GGUCCUUUAGUAUAUCGGCUAGUACUUCUGGUUUUGAUCCAGGCGAGGCCGGUUCGAUUCCGGCAAGGACCU